RNAcentral lists this ribosomal RNA (357 nucleotides) under uncultured bacterium. RNAcentral describes it as "bacterial SSU rRNA". It matches the Rfam family "Bacterial small subunit ribosomal RNA", at positions 94 to 451 of the family's 1533-position model. The record is from RNAcentral.
AGCGGCGGACGGGUGAGUAACGCGUGAGCAAUCUGCCCUGUGGAGGGGGAUAGCCUCUGGAAACGGAGAUUAAUACCGCAUGACACUGCUUUAUCGCAUGAUAUAGCAGUCAAAACUACGGUGCCACAGGAUGAGCUCGCGUCUCAUUAGCUAGUUGGUGGGGUAAAGGCCUACCAAGGCGACGAUGAGUAGCCGACCUGAGAGGGUGAUCGGCCACACUGGAACUGAGACACGGUCCAGACUCCUACGGGAGGCAGCAGUGGGGAAUAUUGCGCAAUGGGGGAAACCCUGACGCAGCAACGCCGCGUGAGUGAUGAAGGCUUUCGAGUCGUAAAACUCUGUCUUUGGGGACGAAUA